RNAcentral lists this RNase P RNA (341 nucleotides) under Gammaproteobacteria bacterium. Its description in RNAcentral is "RNase P RNA component class A". It matches the Rfam family "Bacterial RNase P class A". Rfam says of the family: Ribonuclease P (RNase P) is a ubiquitous endoribonuclease, found in archaea, bacteria and eukarya as well as chloroplasts and mitochondria. The record is from RNAcentral. Lineage: Bacteria; Pseudomonadati; Pseudomonadota; Gammaproteobacteria.
CGAGCUAACCGAGUAAUCGCUGAUUUUUUAAAUCAGAGGAAAGUCCGGGCUCCGAAGGAUAAGACGCCAGGUAACGCCUGGGAGUAACGAAAGUUAUUACGGCUAGUGCAGCAGAAAAUAAACCGCCUAAUUUUAGGUAAGGGUGAAAAGGUGAGGUAAGAGCUCACCGUAUAUCUGGAAACAGAUAUAGCUAGGUAAACCCCGUCUGGAGCAAGACUAAAUAGAGAUUCUUUAAUGUUAUCCGCAUUGAAUCUGGGUAAGUUGCUAGAGAUUUAUGGCGACAUAAGUCCAAGAUGAAUGAUUACAUAAAACAGAACCCGGCUUAUGGGUUAGCUCUCUAU